Molecule: transfer RNA, 74 nt
Filed under: Actinomycetes bacterium
Lineage: Bacteria; Bacillati; Actinomycetota; Actinomycetes
Description: Actinobacteria bacterium tRNA-Lys
Rfam family: tRNA
About the family: Transfer RNA (tRNA) molecules are approximately 80 nucleotides in length. Their secondary structure includes four short double-helical elements and three loops (D, anti-codon, and T loops).
Source: RNAcentral
GGGUUGCGAGCUUGGCGGGGAAAGCAUCCGGCUCUUACCCGGACGAGCGGGUUCGAGUCCUCGGCAACCCACGA